CAUUGAUGCAACAUUAGGUUCUCCAUUCUCUUGCUCUACUGGGAACCUGGCUCCCAUGGAGGGCUCCGAUUCUCCUGGAUCCCUCUGGAGCUACAGCAGUUUCGUUUCCCUUCCCCUUCCACCAUGGCCCGACAGAAUCAACACACAGAAAGAACUAUACUUUGGAGAAAAGGGUGGAAGAUCCAUCUCAGAAGCAUCCACUGGUACAUAUAUA
Lemur catta (Ring-tailed lemur) is the source of this 214-nucleotide long non-coding RNA. RefSeq lists it as uncharacterized. The transcript is spliced from 3 exons. The record is from RefSeq and is a predicted model, not a curated record. NCBI's taxonomy places the organism in Eukaryota, Metazoa, Chordata, Mammalia, Primates, Lemuridae.